AGUUCGAUGUAUGAUAUGAUUGUUGACCUGGCGGGAUGCUUUACACAUGCACGUCGAACGGCAGCACGGACUUCGGUCUGGUGGCGAUGUGAACGGGUGAUAAUGUAUCGAACGUGCCUAGUAGCGGAAAUCAACUACGCGGCGUAGCUAAUACCGCAUACGCCCUUCAGGGGAAAAGCGGGGACCUUCGGGCCUCGCACUAUUAAGAGCGGCCGAUAUCGGAUUAGCUAGUUGGUGAGGCUUAACGGCUCACCAAGGCGACGAUCCGUAGCGCUGGUUUGAAGGACGACCAGCCACGCAGGACUGGGCAGCCAGACUCCGGAAGGCUGGCAGUGGAAUUUUGGACAAUGGGGAAACCCUGAUCGCCAUCCCGCGUGUCUGAUGGUAUGGGUUGUAGAAAGCCUUUGGCGGGAAAAACGGCACGGGAUAAUACCCCGUGCAACUAAACACCUGCAGAAUAAGCACCGGCUAACUACGUGCCAGCAGCCGCGAUAAUGUGAAGUUACCGGCGUUAAUCCAGAUUACUGGGCGUCUACAGCGUGCGCAGGCGGUUCCGGAAGAAAGAUGUAGAGGUAAUCCCAGGCUUACAACUUUGGGGCAUUUUUAACUACCGGCUAGAGUGCUGUCAGGGAGUGGAAUUCCGCGUGUAGCAGUGAAAUGCGUAGAUAUGCGGAGGAACACCGAUAGCGGGCUGGCACCUCCUGGGAUAACACUGACGCUCAUGCACGAAGCGUGGGGGAGCAAACGGGAUUAGAUACCCUGGUAGUCCACGCCCUAAACGAUGUCAACUAGCUGUUGGGGCCUUCGGGCCUUGGUAGCGCAGCUAACGCGUGAAGUUGACCGCCUGGGGAAGUACGGUCGCAAGAUUAAAACUCAAAAGGAAUUGACGGGGACCGCACAAGCGGUGGAUAGUGGAUUAAUUCGAUGCAGCACGAAAAACCUUACCUACCCUUGACAUGGAAUCCCGAAGAGAUUUGGGAGUGCUCGCAAGAGAACCGGAACACAGGUGCUGCAUGGCUGUCGUCGACUCGUGUCGUGAGAUGUUGGGUUGAAUCUGUAACGAGCGCAACCCUUGUCGUGGAUUGCUACGAGGCACUCUAAUGAGACUGCCGGUGACAAACCUGGAGGAAGGUGGGGAUGACGUCAAGUCCUCAUGGCCCUUAUGGGUAGGGCUUCGCGAUAAUACAAUGAUGGACGGGGUCGCCAACCCGCGAGGGAGGCCAAUCCCAGAAACCCGAUCGUAGUCCGGAUCGCAGUCUGCAACUCGACUUGCGUGAAGUCGGAUAUCGCUAGUAAUCGCCGGAUAUUAUCGCGGUGAAUACGUUCCCGGGUCUUGUACACACCUUCCGCUCCAUACCAUGGGAGUGGGUUUACCCAGAAGUAGUUAGCCUAACCGUAAGGAGGGCGAUUACCACGGUAGGAUUCAUGACUGGGGUGAAGUCGUAACAAGGUAA
RNAcentral lists this ribosomal RNA (1454 nucleotides) under uncultured Bordetella sp. RNAcentral describes it as "partial 16S-23S ribosomal RNA intergenic spacer". It matches the Rfam family "Bacterial small subunit ribosomal RNA". Lineage: Bacteria; Pseudomonadati; Pseudomonadota; Betaproteobacteria; Burkholderiales; Alcaligenaceae. The record is from RNAcentral.